This 3153-nucleotide ribosomal RNA is filed under the name Triticum aestivum (bread wheat). Its description in RNAcentral is "partial small subunit ribosomal RNA". Lineage: Eukaryota; Viridiplantae; Streptophyta; Magnoliopsida; Poales; Poaceae. The record is from RNAcentral.
AUGGCUCGCCGCGGCCGCGACGACGACGACGACGAGGUCGAGGAGGAGGAGGAGGACGAGGAGGAGGCCUACGACCUCGACGACGAGGAGGACGACGAGGGGGACGACUACGAGGAGGAGGCGAGGGGCCGGGGCAAGGCGGCCUCCCGCUCCCGCGCCCCCGCCGGCGGGGUGCGGAAGAGAUCGCGCCAGGACAACUUCAUCGACGACUCGGCCAUCGAGGACGACGACGAGGACGAGGAGGACGACGGCGGGAGCCGCCCGAGGAAGAAGGGCGGCGGCGGCGUGCGCGGGUUCUUCGACGAGGAGGCGCAGGUCGACGAGGACGAGGAGGAGGAGGACGAAGGCGAAGGCGAGGAUGACUUUAUCAAUGAUGCUGGAGCCGACAUUCCUGAUGACGACGCCGGCAGGGGCUCCAGAUCACGUCACUCUAUCCCUAUGAGGGACGAAGAAGAGGAUAUUGAUGAGAUUGAACGACAAGUACGGGAGAGAUAUGCAAGAUCUACUCAUAUUGAGUAUGGAGAGGAAGCUGCAGACGUUGAACAGCAAGCUCUCUUGCCAUCUGUGAAAGAUCCAAAGCUUUGGAUGGUGAAAUGUGCGAUUGGGCAUGAGAGGGAGACAGCAAUCUGUCUAAUGCAAAAGUUCAUUGAUAGGACAGAUCUCCAGAUAAAGUCUGUUGUUGCGUUAGAUCAUUUAAAAAAUUAUAUUUAUGUUGAAGCGGAAAAAGAGGCCCAUGUCAAGGAGGCUUGCAAAGGUCUACGAAAUAUCUAUGCUUCGGCAAAAAUAACGUUAGUCCCAAUAAAAGAAAUGGCAGACGUCCUCUAUGUUGAGAGCAAGAAUGUUGAUCUUGCAAGGGAUACUUGGGUCCGAAUGAAGCUGGGAGUAUAUAAAGGUGACCUUGCUAAGGUUGUUGAUGUUGACAAUGUACGCCAAAGGGUAACUGUGAAGCUCAUCCCUAGAAUAGAUUUACAAGUUUUGGCUAGUAAACUGGAAGGGAGGGUGGUUGCAAAGAAGAAAACCUUUGUACCACCACCAAGAUUCUUUAAUAUUGAUGAAGCCAGGGAAAUGCACAUACGCGUGGAGCGGAGGCGGGAUAAAGACUCUGGGGAAUACUUUGAGAUGGUUGAUGGCUUGAUGUUCAAAGAUGGUUUCCUGUAUAAACCGGUCUCAAUAAAAUCAAUCCACACACAGGGCAUUCAGCCAUCAUUCGAUGAAUUGGAGAAGUUCAAGAAACCUGGCGAUGACAUGAAUGGGGACAUGUCUAGCUUGAAUACUCUGUUUUCUAAUAGGAAAAAGGGACACUUUAUGAAGGGUGAUGCUGUCAUUGUUGUUAAAGGCGAUCUAAAAAACUUAGAGGGUUGGGUUGAGAAAGUAGAGGACACAACUGUCCACAUCAGGCCAAAAAUAUCCGAUCUUCCGAAAACAUUAGCCUUCAACGAGAAAGAACUUUGCAAAUAUUUCAAACCUGGAGAUCAUGUGAAAGUGGUAUCGGGUGUCCAAGAGGGUACCACCGGCAUGGUUGUUAAAGUUGAUGGGCAUGUCUUAAUCAUUUUAUCAGACACAACUAAAGAACACAUACGUGUGUUUGCCGACCAUGUUGUGGAGAGUUCUGAAAUCACCACAGGAAUUACAAGAAUCGGUGAUUAUGAACUACAUGAUCUUGUUCUUUUAGACAACUUGUCAUUUGGGGUUAUUAUAAGAGUGGAAACUGAAGCAUUCCAGGUUCUGAAAGGAGUGCCAGAUAGACCUGAAGUGGUGCUUGUAAAAUUAAGAGAAAUAAAAAGCAAGAUUGAUCGGCGUACAUCAGCGAAAGAUAAGUUUAAUAAUAUGGUUGCAACUAAGGAUGUUGUCAGAGUUGUCGAGGGAGCAUGUAAGGGAACACAAGGACCUGUGGAACACAUACAUAAGGGGAUAUUGUUCAUAUAUGAUAGGCACCACCUUGAACAUGCAGGCUUCAUUUGUGCAAAAGCACAAUCGUGCAUUCUUGUCGGUGGAUCGACUGGUGGCCGUCGUGGAAAUGGUAUGGAUGCUGCAGAUGCUAGGAUGGGUGCUUUGAGAUCCCCGGCAAGCAUCUUGCAGUCUCCAGGAAGGCUGCCCCCAAGAGGACCACAAAUGAACUAUGGUGGAAGAUUUGGAGGAGGUGGUCGUGGUGGAAGAGGACAUGAUGCCUUGGUUGGCAAGUGUAUCAAAAUUAAAUCUGGUCCUUACAAAGGGUACCGUGGCCGCGUUAAAGAGGUGACUGGGGUGCUUGUGCGCGUGGAGCUUGAUUCGUUAAUGAAGAUUGUCACAGUUAAGAGGGAUGAUAUUGCCGACACACCUACUGUUGCAACACCAUUCCGUGAGCCCCGAUUUUCGUUGGGCAGUGAAACACCAAUGCACCCGUCUAGGACGCCACUACAUCCUUUUCAGACUCCAAUGCGGGACCCUGGAGCAACACCGAUACAUGAUGGAAUGCGGACCCCGAUGCGUAGUAGGGCCUGGGCUCCUAUGAGUCCUCCAAGAGAUAAUUGGGAAGAUGGAAAUCCUGAUACUUGGGGAAGCAGUCCAGCUUACCAGCCAGGAACACCACCAGCUCGGCCAUAUGAAGCCCCAACACCUGGAUCAGGGUGGGCAAAUACUCCAGGAGUUAGUUAUAAUGACGUCCCAACUCCUAGAGAGGGCAACUAUGCGAAUGCUCCAAGCCCAUAUGUGCCUUCCACACCUGUUGGCCAGCCAAUGACACCAAAUUCUGCUGCGUACCUUCCUGGUACACCUGGUGGUCAACCAAUGACUCCAGGCAAUGCUGGAAUGGAUAUAAUGUCUCCUGUAAUAGGUGGCGAGGGCGAAGUUAACUGGGCAUUGCCAGAUGUGUUAGUUAAUGUCUUGGCGGCAGGUGAUGAAGGACCUGGUGUGGUCAGGGAAGUGCUUGGGGAUGGAACUUGCCGUGUGGCACUUGGGUCGUCAGGCAACGGAGACAUUGUGACGGUCCUUCCGACUGAGCUCGAGGUCAUCAGACCAAAGAAGAGUGACAGGAUCAAGAUCAUGAAUGGUACCUUCCGCGGAUUUGUUGGAAAACUUAUAGGAAUAGACGGUUCUGAUGGCAUUGUGAAGCUCGACGACACCUAUGAGGUCAAGAUCUUAGAUAUGGUGAUUUUGGCCAAACUGGCGGCUUGA